Gossypium raimondii (Peruvian cotton) is the source of this 820-nucleotide long non-coding RNA. RefSeq lists it as uncharacterized. The record is from RefSeq and is a predicted model, not a curated record. NCBI's taxonomy places the organism in Eukaryota, Viridiplantae, Streptophyta, Magnoliopsida, Malvales, Malvaceae. The transcript has 2 exons.
UUGAGUGAUCUAAAGCGCUAGACUCAAGUUUUGGCCUUCAUGAGAGGGCUUGGGGUUCAAAUCCCACUUUUGACAGAAAUUUAAAAUUUUAAUGAAGUUGAAAAGAACUGCAGGAAGAGGAUUAAGAAUAGAGAUGAUAGCAAGUAUGCUAUGCCAAAACGAGGCCCCUUCCAUAGCCAUAAACAAAUAGGAAAACUUGGAUAAGAUUCUCCUACAACUGAUAAGAGAAAAAUGAACUUUCUGACUAUUAAGGAGAUAAUGAGGACUUUUAAUUACUGUAUUCAGUACUGACAUCUGAUAUGAGGUUUUGCUCUUCAAUCCUUAUUUCUUUGUCUAGCUUUGCCCUGUAGAGUUUUUCUUCCCAUUUGCUUUCAUUUGGUGAGCUGUCAAGGUCCAUUAAUGUUGAUUUGUCCUUAUCCUAAGCUGGUGUGACUUUCCAUGCAUUGCUGCAAAACCAUGGGUAAUCUUGUUACCACUCUUUUGAAUCUGGAAUAUUUUCUUGAUAUUCUUUGAGUGCCUUUUUUAACUCCAUUUGAUAGGGUGUUGGUGGUUCUAUAUCAAAGUCCCAAGGUGCUAGUACAUCUCCUAGUAGCCAUAUUUCUAUGGGAAUGGUUCUAUUGAGUUGGCAGAGAUAUUUUUGCAGCGUUUUGUAGUUAUAGGGAUUUGUAUCAACCUCUGAGCUGUAUGUUUUGUAAAUCCAAACUGUUGGAAAUGCUCCUAAUUAUUGGGUUGAUGCACCAUUUUGCAUGAAAUAUUGUGGUUCAUAGAAAAUAAUUACUACAAUUGAAGGAGGUGUUCUUUUGGAUUGUUCAAGUGUCAA